Molecule: ribosomal RNA, 120 nt
Filed under: Anolis carolinensis (green anole)
Lineage: Eukaryota; Metazoa; Chordata; Lepidosauria; Squamata; Anolidae
Source: RNAcentral
AUACACGGGCAUAAAUACCCUAAAGACACCAGAUCCUCUCUGGGCUUGGAAGCUAAGCAGGGUCAGCUCUAAUUAAUAGUUGGAUGGGAGACCACCAAUGAAUACCAGGCGCUGUAGGUU